Molecule: unclassified non-coding RNA, 2997 nt
Filed under: Hevea brasiliensis (rubber tree)
Lineage: Eukaryota; Viridiplantae; Streptophyta; Magnoliopsida; Malpighiales; Euphorbiaceae
Source: RNAcentral
UUCUAUUUUUUUUUUUUUUUUUGACUUGGUGGUCUGGGAAUUCAAGCAAGAAAAUUCCUGCCCUUGUUGGUAUUCCAGGGAAUAUAAGAGAAGAAGAAACUAAAGAAAGUCAUUGACAAGAACUUGACUUCUCAAUAGUUUCAUUUCUACUGGUUUUAGUUUUUAUUUUUUUAUCUGUACAAUUAAUUUCUGCAAUACCCAAUUGCCCAUUUUGAAUUCAAAAACAUGAUUUAUUUUUUAUGUUGAUUUCCUGGUUUCUGAACGUCACAAGUGUUUCGUUCCUCAUUCUCAAAUUUAUUUGACAAAUCCUAAUUCGUGUAGCAUAGAGGUCUUCUGUGUUUUUUUUCCAAUUUUUUGUUAUCUUUUACUUGCAUACUUGUAUGCAUAGACAUAGAUUUUUUUUUUUGGUUGUUCUUUCUUUUUGUUAAAAAUCUGCAGGAUAAUAGCUUCAUAAUAAGGUAGGUGUGUGUUAUGGAUCAUAGGUUCAAUCUCAACAGUCCUUCAUAAAAAGUUCUCAAAGUAGAUUAAUGGCUAAUUUUUCUGAGCCAUCAUCAUCUUUGAGCUUUACUUCAUCUUCUCAUGUAUCAAAUGGCUCAAUUAGUCAAAAUAUAUCCACCUUCUCAAUCUCUGAGGCAAGGCCUAGCCUUGAGGUGAUUAGUUUAAACAAGCUUAGCUCCAAUUUGGAGCAGCUCUUGAUUGAUUCCAGUUGUGAUUAUAGUGAUGCUGAAAUUAUUGUUGAGGGAAUCUCUGUUGGCAUUCAUCGGUGUAUUCUGGCUGCUAGAAGCAGGUUUUUCAAUGAGUUAUUUAAGCAAGAAAAGGGAUCUUUAGGCAAGGAAGGGAAACCAAAGUAUUGCAUGAGCGAUCUAUUACCUUAUGGAAAGGUUGGAUAUGAAGCGUUGCUGGUUUUCUUGAACUACUUGUAUACUGGAAAACUUAAGCCAUCUCCAAUGGAGGUAUCAACUUGUGUUGAUAAUUUAUGUGCUCAUGAUGCCUGUGGGCCUGCAAUUAAUUUUGCAGUGGAAUUGUUGUAUGCCUCGUCCAUAUUUCAAGUACCAGAGCUGGUUUCACUUUUCCAGAGACGCCUUGUUAACUUUGUUGAUAAGGCUUAUGUGGAGGAUGUAAUCCCUAUACUUCUGGUUGCCUACCACUGUCAAUUGAAUCAACUUGUUGCUCAAUGUGUGGAUAGAAUAGCACGGUCGGAUCUUGAUAACAUCUCAAUAGAGAAGGAGCUUCCCUAUGAGCUUUCAAAGACAAUUGAACAUAGUCGUGAAGAGCCUAUCUCUGAUGAUGAACAGGUGUCUGAGGCUGUGGAACCCUUGCAUGAAAAGGCUAUUAGGAAAAUACACAAGGCAUUAGACUGGGAGGAUAUUGAACUGGUAGAACUUCUCUUGUGGGAAUCUAAUGUAACACUGGACGAUGCCAAUUCUCUUCAUUAUGCUGUUGCAUACUGUGACGCAAAGACUGCCACAGAGCUUCUUAAUCUUGGAAUUGCUGAUGUUAACCUUAGAAAUUCAAGAGGCUACACUGUACUGCAUGUUGCUGCAAUGCGUAAAGAGCCUAAGAUUAUUGUAUCUCUCUUGACUAAGGGAGCUCGUCCGUCAGAUCUUACUCUGGAUGGUAGAAAAGCACUUCAAAUAUCGAAGCGACUUACUAGGGCUUCAGAUUACUAUAGCUAUACUGAGGAAGGAAAAGCUUCUCCCAAGGAACGAUUAUGCAUAGAGGUAUUGGAACAAGCAGAAAGAAGAGAUCCAUUGCUUGGAGAGGCUUCUCUUUCUCUUGCUAUGGCUGGUGAUGACCUGCGAAUGAAAUUAUUGUACCUUGAAAAUAGAGUUGGGCUGGCAAAACUUUUAUUCCCCAUGGAAGCGAAAGUUGCGAUGGAUAUUGCUCAAGUGGAUGGCACUAGUGAAUUUCCAUUAACUAGCGCCAAGGUGAAGAAUUUGGCUGGUGCUCAGAGGACAACAGUGGAUUUGAAUGAGGCACCUUUCAGAAUUCAAGAGGAGCAUCUGAGUAGGAUGAGAGCGCUCUCUAAAACUGGUAAAUGAUGCUCUGCACAUAUAGAUAUAUCUGCAUGAGAAGAUUUUCUGCAAAUGAUAACACUGAGAGUUUUCUUUUCAAUUUACUUUAAAAGGACCCCAUCUGUAUAAAUUUAGUUGGCUAAACACUGUUCAGAUAUGGGUAAAAACUGUUAGAAAAUAGUGGAAAUGAUGUUUAACAACAUUUCUAUGGGAAUUCCAAAUCCACAAAACCAUGAUUUCAAGUUCAUCUUCAGUCUUCAGCGAGAAAUACUUCCAUUUAACAAGUCUAGGGUCCCAUCCCAGGGGAUUGGGAACAUCCCUUUUAAGAUUGAUGUAUUGACAUCAAAUCUCUAGAACUAUGCAAGGGAAUUCUUUGGUUUGGAAAAGUAGGACAAAUUAUGAAAUUGAUCAUGUUAUUUGACAUUGAACAGUGGAACUUGGGAAAAGGUUUUUCCCUAAGUGCUCAGAAGUACUAAACAGGAUCAUGGAUGCUGAUGACUUAUCGCAGCUCGCCUAUUUGGGGAAUGACACUCCAGAGGAACGACUCCAAAAGAAAAGAAGAUACAUGGAACUCCAGGAAGUUCUAACUAAGGCAUUUACUGAGGAUAAACAAGAGUUUGAUAGGUCUACCAGAUCAUCUUCUGCAUCGUCAAAAUCAGUAGUGACUGUGAGGUCUAAUGGCAAGCUUCCUGAUAGGGGUGGUAGUACUGGUAAGGCUUAAUUUUUUCUUCCUUUUGUAUGAUAUUUAUGCAACUUUUUUGUUAUAUGUGUACGUAUAUAUUUUAAGAUGUUUUUUUUGCUUUGUAUAAUAAAUAAAUGGUUGGCUAUAGAGGAGGGAAGGGAAUAAGACCAUGUUUGGUACGACGUAAUGUACUAAAUCAAAAGUGUAAUGUAAUUAUAUUACACAUUUGAUUAUUUUUGGUAACACAAAAAAAAUUAAUGUAAUGGAAUGAUAAUUUAAUUAUAUUUUAUAAUAUAAUCU